This 429-nucleotide ribosomal RNA is filed under the name Acidobacteriota bacterium. RNAcentral's name for it is "Acidobacteria bacterium partial 16S ribosomal RNA". It matches the Rfam family "Bacterial small subunit ribosomal RNA", at positions 355 to 776 of the family's 1533-position model. The record is from RNAcentral. Lineage: Bacteria; Pseudomonadati; Acidobacteriota.
UGGGGAAUUUUGGACAAUGGGGGAAACCCUGAUCCAGCCAUCCCGCGUGUGCGAUGAAGGCCUUCGGGUUGUAAAGCACUUUUGGCAGGAAAGAAACGUCAUGGGUUAAUACCCCGUGAAACUGACGGUACCUGCAGAAUAAGCACCGGCUAACUACGUGCCAGCAGCCGCGGUAAUACGUAGGGUGCAAGCGUUAAUCGGAAUUACUGGGCGUAAAGCGUGCGCAGGCGGUUCGGAAAGAAAGAUGUGAAAUCCCAGAGCUCAACUUUGGAACUGCAUUUUUAACUACCGGGCUAGAGUGUGUCAGAGGGAGGUGGAAUUCCGCGUGUAGCAGUGAAAUGCGAAGAUAUGCGGAGGAACACCGAUGGCGAAGGCAGCCUCCUGGGAUAACACUGACGCUCAUGCACGAAAGCGUGGGGAGCAAACAGG